CAGAGUUCGUGCCCCUCGCGGGUAGAUCUCCCACCCUUGUGUAUCUCGUGUUCUUGUUGCUUUGGCAGGCCGCUGGGCUUCUCCCCCCUUCCCGGGGGGUGACCCGGCCACCGGCUCCCUGGGGCUGGUGCGCGCCUGCCAGAGGACCUCCCAAACUCAGUUUGUCAGUGUCGUCAGAGUACCUAUAACAAUCGUUA
This 197-nucleotide unclassified non-coding RNA is filed under the name uncultured Helotiales. RNAcentral's name for it is "sequence contains ITS1". Lineage: Eukaryota; Fungi; Ascomycota; Leotiomycetes; Helotiales. The record is from RNAcentral.